RNAcentral lists this ribosomal RNA (1420 nucleotides) under Lactiplantibacillus plantarum. RNAcentral describes it as "bacterial SSU rRNA". It matches the Rfam family "Bacterial small subunit ribosomal RNA". Lineage: Bacteria; Bacillati; Bacillota; Bacilli; Lactobacillales; Lactobacillaceae. The record is from RNAcentral.
UGGUAUUGAUUGGUGCUUGCAUCAUGAUUUACAUUUGAGUGAGUGGCGAACUGGUGAGUAACACGUGGGAAACCUGCCCAGAAGCGGGGGAUAACACCUGGAAACAGAUGCUAAUACCGCAUAACAACUUGGACCGCAUGGUCCGAGUUUGAAAGAUGGCUUCGGCUAUCACUUUUGGAUGGUCCCGCGGCGUAUUAGCUAGAUGGUGGGGUAACGGCUCACCAUGGCAAUGAUACGUAGCCGACCUGAGAGGGUAAUCGGCCACAUUGGGACUGAGACACGGCCCAAACUCCUACGGGAGGCAGCAGUAGGGAAUCUUCCACAAUGGACGAAAGUCUGAUGGAGCAACGCCGCGUGAGUGAAGAAGGGUUUCGGCUCGUAAAACUCUGUUGUUAAAGAAGAACAUAUCUGAGAGUAACUGUUCAGGUAUUGACGGUAUUUAACCAGAAAGCCACGGCUAACUACGUGCCAGCAGCCGCGGUAAUACGUAGGUGGCAAGCGUUGUCCGGAUUUAUUGGGCGUAAAGCGAGCGCAGGCGGUUUUUUAAGUCUGAUGUGAAAGCCUUCGGCUCAACCGAAGAAGUGCAUCGGAAACUGGGAAACUUGAGUGCAGAAGAGGACAGUGGAACUCCAUGUGUAGCGGUGAAAUGCGUAGAUAUAUGGAAGAACACCAGUGGCGAAGGCGGCUGUCUGGUCUGUAACUGACGCUGAGGCUCGAAAGUAUGGGUAGCAAACAGGAUUAGAUACCCUGGUAGUCCAUACCGUAAACGAUGAAUGCUAAGUGUUGGAGGGUUUCCGCCCUUCAGUGCUGCAGCUAACGCAUUAAGCAUUCCGCCUGGGGAGUACGGCCGCAAGGCUGAAACUCAAAGGAAUUGACGGGGGCCCGCACAAGCGGUGGAGCAUGUGGUUUAAUUCGAAGCUACGCGAAGAACCUUACCAGGUCUUGACAUACUAUGCAAAUCUAAGAGAUUAGACGUUCCCUUCGGGGACAUGGAUACAGGUGGUGCAUGGUUGUCGUCAGCUCGUGUCGUGAGAUGUUGGGUUAAGUCCCGCAACGAGCGCAACCCUUAUUAUCAGUUGCCAGCAUUAAGUUGGGCACUCUGGUGAGACUGCCGGUGACAAACCGGAGGAAGGUGGGGAUGACGUCAAAUCAUCAUGCCCCUUAUGACCUGGGCUACACACGUGCUACAAUGGAUGGUACAACGAGUUGCGAACUCGCGAGAGUAAGCUAAUCUCUUAAAGCCAUUCUCAGUUCGGAUUGUAGGCUGCAACUCGCCUACAUGAAGUCGGAAUCGCUAGUAAUCGCGGAUCAGCAUGCCGCGGUGAAUACGUUCCCGGGCCUUGUACACACCGCCCGUCACACCAUGAGAGUUUGUAACACCCAAAGUCGGUGGGGUAACCUUUUAGGAACCAGCCGCCUA